Xenopus tropicalis (tropical clawed frog) is the source of this 216-nucleotide long non-coding RNA. RefSeq lists it as uncharacterized. NCBI's taxonomy places the organism in Eukaryota, Metazoa, Chordata, Amphibia, Anura, Pipidae. The record is from RefSeq and is a predicted model, not a curated record. The transcript is spliced from 3 exons.
CAUUGAAUGACAAGCUUCAGUCUGAGGACUACGAUGACACUGAAGGACCAGAAAAGGAUGAAAUUGAUUUCAUAUUUGAUGCUCGAACCCUCCCACAGAACAUGAUCUCAGACUAUGGAUACGAUGAUGCAGGAUCAUUGAAUGACAGGUUUCCAUCAGAUGACUAUGAUGACAAUGAAGAGCCAGAAAAAGAUGAAAUUCCUUUCAUGUCUGAUG